AAAUUGAAGAGUUUGAUCAUGGCUCAGAUUGAACGCUGGCGGCAGGCCUAACACAUGCAAGUCGAACGGUAGCAGAAAGAAGCUUGCUUCUUUGCUGACGAGUGGCGGACGGGUGAGUAAUGUCUGGGAAACUGCCCGAUGGAGGGGGAUAACUACUGGAAACGGUAGCUAAUACCGCAUAACGUCUUCGGACCAAAGAGGGGGACCUUCGGGCCUCUUGCCAUCGGAUGUGCCCAGAUGGGAUUAGCUAGUAGGUGGGGUAA
Molecule: ribosomal RNA, 263 nt
Filed under: Pluralibacter gergoviae
Lineage: Bacteria; Pseudomonadati; Pseudomonadota; Gammaproteobacteria; Enterobacterales; Enterobacteriaceae
Description: partial 16S ribosomal RNA
Rfam family: Bacterial small subunit ribosomal RNA
Source: RNAcentral